UACGUAGGUGGCAAGCGUUAUCCGGAUUUACUGGGUGUAAAGGGCGUGUAGGCGGGAAAGCAAGUCAGAUGUGAAAACUCAGGGCUCAACCCUGAGCCUGCAUUUGAAACUGUUUUUCUUGAGUACUGGAGAGGCAGACGGAAUUCCUAGUGUAGCGGUGAAAUGCGUAGAUAUUAGGAGGAACACCAGUGGCGAAGGCGGCUUACUGGACGGUAACUGACGUUGAGGCACGAAAGUGUGGGGAGCAA
Molecule: ribosomal RNA, 248 nt
Filed under: uncultured Intestinimonas sp.
Lineage: Bacteria; Bacillati; Bacillota; Clostridia; Eubacteriales
Description: partial 16S ribosomal RNA
Rfam family: Bacterial small subunit ribosomal RNA
Source: RNAcentral